UAGAUUAUGUAAUCAGAGUAGUAUUUCAUUCAAACCAAAUACGUCAGAUUCAUUAAUAAAUGGAAAUAUAUACCAAAACAAGAAAGGAUCAAAUUGGAAUAUUUGGAAAAUGAAAAGGAACGAACCGUCUCUCGCCGAUUCGAGGGGGGUGUCACUGUCUCUUAUUUACGAUCUGGCGAAUUAAGGACCAUGAUUUGAUGCUAGAGAUUGUUGUUCACUUGUUCUAUUGAAACCAUAUACACUUUUAAAAUGCACCCAACGUGUGGUUAGCGUUUGACCCACGUCCAUCUACAUAAUCUAUGUAUUGCAUUAAAAUAAUUGGUAGAUUUUGCAUUAGGAUAUAGGAUUUCUUGGUGGUUGCAGCAAUAAAAUAGUGUAUUUGUCUACGAUUUUGAUUAGAUUGAAGAUUUAAACAGUGUACAAGAGACUAUAAGUAUUUUAGAAAAAACCUCUUUUGUUUAUCACCUGGCUGUUUAUUACCUGGCUUGCAGUCUUCGAUCUUGUUGGGAAAAUAAAAUGACGUUUUCCUCACCUUAUGUGAAUCUUUAAAGAAAAUAUAUCGACGACAGCAAAAUAUAUAAUAAGAAUAAGCAAUAAAUAAAUGAGAAAAACACUUUUAUAUAGAAAAACAUAUUUGUUAUAAGCAGACUUGGCCCUGAAAAACUUUACAAAACUAAAGGCUGGAAGCCCAGAGAAAAAAAUGUUGCCUAGCCAUUUUGAACCUGCUAUCUUUAGGUAGUUUGCCUGUUAGUUUAACCAUUUGAGCUACUGUUAUAUCUUAAAAAUUGGCCGAAACUUCAGUAUGUUAUCAACGGCUGGAAGCAGAUGCUUCUAAUGCAUCUGUCAGGGCCGCUACUGGUUGUAAGAAUAAAAUUCCUAAAAGACCGUAGUCCACUAAAUAAUCCGAGUGUGAGUAUGACUAUAUUCUCUCUCUAUUCAAUAACCUGAACAGAACACACACUCUAACUACAAAGAGCUAUGUCCAACACAAGAUACUACCACGGCAAGAGAGCACCACAAAAGCUUCAAAACAUGCAGCCACAAAAUGACCUAAGUUCACUACGAUUCCGGAAACCAGAGACUAAUCCCACUGUAUAAAUAUAAGAUGAACAAGUCAACAACAUCUCUGCCAAGUUUCAGUUCAAUAGAAAAAGAUCUCACUAUUGGAUUUACGAAACACCCAACACAUCACUACUGAAGAACAUUAACGACCAUCUUCACUAAAACCUAGAUAACAGAAGAUUCAACUGUUGAAAUCCAAAUCUUUUCGGUGAACCUUUAACAAACUGAAUGAAGAAGCUUCCCACAAUAUAUCAGUCAUAUCAAGAUCCGUUUGACCUUCCAAACCGUGUCUUGUCAAACCCAGACGAAUUCUGCAUUAUUUUAUCUCUUUGGUCUUAAAAUUCUUUUUCAGUCUCUUCUUUCUUUUCUUGUGUUAUGUCUUCUAACCACACAAAAUUAGGUUAAAAUACUUUAUAUAAUGUCUUAAUAAACCCCCCAAGGCACGAUACUAAUCUUAUGGAUUAAUAUCAAUGGCCCAUCUCAAAGUUUUGUUAUCACCAACAAAACCUAUUGGGGUUCCCAUCAAAGUAUCAAACUCCUUCUCUGACUAGUGGAGGAAACAACCAUACCAACUAUCUCUCGGCAUACCUCAAGGUUCCGCUUCCUUAGAAGCAAUCAUAUCUUGUAUCCAAUGAUACCUCCUACGAAUGUGUUUCGAUUGUGAAUAAAAUGUAAAAUUCUUUCCUAGACAAAUGGCACUUCGACUAUCAUAAAACAAUACAUACUUUUCCUGCUUGAACCUGAUAUUUCACAAAAGUUCUUCAUCCACAACAACUCUUUACAAGAUUCAGCUGCACCAAUGAACUCUCCUUCAGUGUUAGAUAAUGCAACAUAUUUUUUCAACCUUGAUUUCUAUGCCACAACUCCACCCGCAAAUAUUACUAAGUAACUCGAAGUAGAUUUACUAGCUAGAAUCAACAUCUCAAAACAUGUUUCAAUGUUCUAUUUCUCUAUUGGAAAGAAACCUGCUGAUAACCCCAAUGGCGUAGGCUAAAUACGGUCGUAUACUGACCAUGGCAUACAUCUAACAACCCACUGUAGAAGCAAAUGGACCCUUUGCCAUAUCUUUUUUUUUCUGCAUAUGUCUUCAAACUCUGUUGACUGUUCAGUCUUAUGUGUGGAGCGAGAGAAGUACUCAGCACUUUAAACUUGUUUAUCUAAAACUGUUUAAGUACUUUUUCAAUGUAUUCCUCUUGACACAAGUAAAUCAGCUUCUCACGUUUAUCUCGAACAAUUCUCAUACCAAUAAUCUGCUUCGCUAGACCCAUACUCUUUCAUAGCAAAAAACUCACUUAGCUGAUUAUCCAGCUCUUUAAUUAUGUCCAUGUUCCUUCCCACAAUCAACAACUUUGUAACAUCCGGAGUUGUCAUAUAUGGAAAGACUUAAAAGAAUUGAUUUAGCUACCUAUGUCACCAAAAUUGACUUACCUUUUCCGUCACACAUCCGUUUAGGACUUCAGAGUUAAGCGUGCUUGGCUGGAGUAGUGAAAGGAUGGGUGACCUAUCCGGAAGUGAUUUGCGAUACCGUGCGAGUGAGGCCAAAGCAUGGGAAAGGUCGGGUGGUGAUUGCAGGUUUAGUAAACAAUGAUUUCGAGCCUUUGAUAAAAUUAACGAACCAACCAUUGGAACAUGAUGGGUCCACGGGCCGAGAGAGUGGGCGUGGAUGGCCCAUUAGUGAGGGUGGUCGGGGCGUUACAAGUGGUAUCAGAGCUAGGUUAGCCAUAUCGGUUCUGACCCGAGAAGCGUCUUGAGACCUGUCGUGGGGCGCAAUGAGGAUAUUGCGUUCUUUGAUAGAGGGUGAGUUGUAACAUCCCGAGUUAUGAUAUAUGAAAAAGCCUAAAAGAAUUGAUUUGGCUACCUAUGUCACCAAAGUUGACUUACCUUUUUCGUCACACAUCCGUUUAGAACUCCAGAGUUAAGUGUAUUUGGGCUGGAGUAGUGAAAGGAUGGGUGACCUAGCGGGAAGUGAUUCGCGAUACCGUGCGAGUGAGGCCAAAGCAGGGAGAAAGGUCGGGUGGUGACUGCAGGGUUAGUAAACAAUGAUUUUGAGCCUUUGGUAAAAUUUAUGGACCGACCAUUGGAACGGAAUGGGGUCCAAGGGCCGAGAGAGUGGGCGUGGAUGGCCCAUUAGCUGAGGGCGGUCAGGGUGUUACAAUAUCAUCGACAUACAUCAACAAGAUGAUAAAAUAUUCGUCACCAAACACCUUCACAAAUAACAGACUGGAAUUUCAUGUACCACUCUUGUUUCAAUCCAUAAAUGAUUUUUUUCAAGAGGAAAACCAAAUCCUCUUUGCCCUUUUUCACAUAGCCUUCUGGUUGUUCCAUGUAGAUCUCUUUCUCCUAAUCACUAUGAAGGAAAUCAAUCUCCACAUCCAUUUGCUCAACCUUAAGACCAAGGCUUACUGCCAAUCCUAACACAUGAACGAAUGAUAUCUUCAAACUGGUAUCCUUUUCUUUCAUAAUCAAUCCCAUUCUUUUUGAUGAAUCCUUUCACACCUAAUCUAACCUUGUAUCUAGGUGGAAAAUAGUAUCCUCAUGCUUAAUUAUGUACACCCACGUAUUAAGUAUAGCCUUCGUACCCUUAGGCGAUUUUCCAACUCAAUGUAUGAUUCUCAUCAAAAGAAUUCAUCUUCUCAUCCAUGGGCCAAACCACAUAUCCUUGUGUUAAUCCUACAAAGUGUCAUAAUAGCUUUCAGGCUCUCCCAUCAAUAAUUAACACAUACUCACUAGGAUCAUACCUUGUCGAGAUCUCUCUUGGAUCUUUUAACAACAAUAGAUUGGUUCUAAAUAACUGGUGUCUCACCAUGAUCGUCACCAUGAUCACCACUACCAUCUUCAUGUGCGGGAGCAUAUACAUUAGAUGUAUUAUCCUAAACCUUCCCUCACUGUGGACGGAUGAAGAAGGAGUAGCCUCUGGAUCGAAUAAACUCUCAUAAACCAGAGUUGAAUUUCUAGACUUGUCAAUGUUCUUAAUCGUUUGAUCUUCCAUGAACACAACAUCUCUUCUCCUUAUAAGAUUUUUUCAACGAGAUCAUAAAAUAUAUACCCGAAUUCAUCAUGGCCAUAACCGAUGAACACACACCAUCGCGACUUCAUAUCAAGCUUCAAUAUCUCAUCCUUGGGAAUAUGAAAAAACAUCUUACACCCAAAGACCCUCAAGUGACCGUAAGAAACAUCCUUGUUGGUCCAAACCCUCUAUGAAAUAUCACCAUCUAACAAACAAAACACUCAGUGACAAAUUCAGCACAUGAACAACUGUGAUCAAAGCUUCUCCCCAGAAAGUCAUCAACAAACCUGACUGUGAGAUCAAACAUUUUAUCCUCUCGACAAUCAUGAUGUUCAUCCUUUCAGCUAACCCAUUCAACUGUGGAGUCUUAAGUGGUGUGAACUAAUGCAUUAUUCCAUGCUCUUUGCAAUAAACAUCAAAUGGUCUAGAAUACUCUCCACCAUUAUCAUUGCGGUUACACCUCAGCUUCUUCCCCGUUUGUCUCUCAACCAGUGCCACAAAAUGCUUGUAAUAUCCCAUCACCUGAUCAUUCAUCCUCGUAGGAAAUAACAACAAUUUUCUUGAAUGAUCAUCAAUGAAAGCCAAAAAUGAUACGUCGCCAAACUAUUUUUGUCUUUAUUGGACCACACACAUCUGAGUGCAGACCAAAGAUUCACGGAAUCACCUCAUUCUUAAAAAAACACAAACAUUCCCUUCUCACUCAAAAGACCUAGUCUCUUAUGCCAUAACUCCAUGAAACCAUCAUUCUCCACUUUCUUAAUAGCAUCUUUGGAGAGCAUGCAUCCAAUAGAAGGAUGAAUACUUUUCAUCUCGAGCCACAAUCAAAGAGCCUCGAGAGAGCUUCCAAUUACCACCACCGUACAACUGUAGAAACCCUCAUCAUCAAGUCUUCCCACCGAUAUCAGAUUCAUAUGAAUAUCCGUAACAUGCUUAACAUACUUAACCACCAACCUAGUUCCAAGACUAGUCUCCAAGCACAUGUCACCAAUGCCGACAACCUGAGCCAAACAUCAAUUCCCCAUCUCCACGGAGCCAUAAUUAUCCGUAGUAUAGGUAAAAAAAACAAAUUAUAAUGUGAUGUAGCAUGAGUAGCUCCACUAUCAACCACCCAAUUGGUGUCUUGGUAUACCACAUUAAUGGCAUUACUUUCAAGAAGAAGGUGAAACUGAAAAUCAGUGACGGCACCUGAUCCACCUUUUCUUCUUGAUUACUUUGGUGCUUGUUUUUCAACUUCCAGGCAUCUUUCUUCAUUUGCAUUUUCUUGUAACAGAAAUAACACUCCAUAUUACCAAAUUUAUUAGAUUUGCUUUUGCUCCUGUUCUUUUCCUCGUGGGCUUUUUAUAUGAUCUCAUCUCCCUUGUCUAAGUAACAAAGACAUCUGAACGCGAAGAACCAGCAUUUGACGGCAUUCUUGCUUCAUCAUUAAGAACAUUGUUCUUCACUGAAUCCAUCGAAAUAACACUUUCCGAGUGGAGUUACAAAGACAAAUCGUGAAAUCUCCCAAGAAUCUGGUAAAGUACCAAGAAGCCACAUACCGUGAAUCUCAUCAUCAAACUUGAUGCCCAUAUCAUAAAGUUUGUUGACCAAUCCCUGAAAUGCAUUAAAGUGAUCCGUCAAGUUCCUUCAUGAUACCUCAUCUUAAUUACCUUCUUAAUUAGUUACAUCUUCUUAUUUCCGGUAUUCCUACUCCAGCUUCAAUUACAAGGAAUGAGCAUCAAUCUAAGUCUCAAUAUGAUGCAAUAAACUAUCAUCUACCCACUUCUUUAUCAGCCCGCACACUUGAAGAUGCAGCAACUUCCAUUUAUCUUCCAUUUUAUUAUCAUGUUUCUUCUACUGAAAUACCGGAAUGAAAUUCCUUAACAAAGAGAAGAGCAUAUCCUCAAUUUUUACUUUCCAUAUAUGAUAGUUAGUACCAGUAGAGAGUAUCAUCCUGCCCAUAUUUUUCAUCAUUCACACAAGCAAACAAUAACUUGAAGUUAUCAAACCUAAAGCUCUAUAACUAGAAGCUCUAAUACCACUUUGUUGGGAAAAAGAAACAUGAGCAGAGGAUUAUUGGAAUGGUGUUCCCUGACAUUAUAUGAACCUGUGAGGAAAAUACUUCGACAAUAGCAUGAUAUACAAUAAGCAAUAACUAAAUGAGACAAGCACUUUUUACUUAGGAAAAUCUCCUCGAUGUGAGAAGGAAAAACUUACGGGAUCAUAGUCCACUAAAAAUACACUAUAUAAAUAUGUAUAAGUACAACCAUGUAUUCACUGUUAAACAAUAUGAACAGAAUAUAGACUCUAGCUACAAAGAGCUAACUCGAACACAAGAUACUACAACAACAAGAGAGCACCACAAAAGCUUCAAAAUAAGCAGCCACGAAACGACCUAAGAUCACUAGGAUUCCAGCAACCAGAGACUAAUCCCACUGUAAAAAUUCAAUAUGACAAGUCAACAACACAUCUGCCAAGUUUCAGCUCUAUCAGAGAAGAUCUUACUGUCCGAUUUACCAAACACUUAAGACAGCGCAACUGGAGAAUUGUGACGACCAACUUCACUAAAACCUAAAUUACACACGAUCCAACUGUUGAAAUUCAAAUCUCUUCUAGUGAAUGAGGAAAUGGGGUAUGGAUCAGUGCUGUUUCUUUUGUAGGGAGAAAAAUGAAUUUUAGGAGCAUCUUUAUUUUGGGUGUUUUUAUAUUUUUACAGUUUGGCUGCGAAGUGUUGGGGUAUCAUUAGUGAUAGACACUUUCACUAUCUUACAUGACACUACCACUCCACUAAUAGACUAUAUCUUGCUUCGCAUAGCCUUUCAAGUACUAGUGUAUUUAGUUUGGAGGGAACAAAACACCGUAAGCAUGGUACAAGCUGGAUCAACACAUGUGAACUUUACAUCUUGCUUAUCAUGGCACUCACAAGUAUGAAGGACUCAGAAGGCAUUGGUUUGCUCUGUAUAGUUAAACUUUACAGUUUUGGUUGGGGUUAGUUUUGGUCCGUUUAUAUUCUUUUUAGAUUUUCUUUACCGAUUCUUCAUCUACAUCUUGUAAAUGAUCAUAUUCUUUAGUUCUUCCGAUUAAUUUAAUAUUUUAUCAAAAAAUAAUAUUAUUAUGUUUUUUAUAUUUUAAAAAGGUAAAAUAUAAUAUGCAAUAUUAUAGAAAUAUAUUAUUGUGUUCUCCGUCUCUCCACUCUCUCUCUUCUUCCCUCUAAUAUGUAAUGUUACGAUAAAACAUUGUCGAGUUCUAAUGUAUUUACGAAGUCUAGAAUAGAAUUAUAAUUAUACAAUCUCUCUCUCUCUCUCUAAAAAAAUGCCAAUAUUAUCAAGAUUGGUGACAAAUUAUUGCAUCACUUCUCUACAAAUACAUAUAUAAAUAUAUAUAUAUAUAUAUGAUUACUUUAUUAAUUGUUUUAAUGUUCAUGUACAUUUUACAAAUUGAAUAUGUACACAAAUUUGGGAGGGGAGAGAGGAUAAUAUUUUCUUGUAAAAUAUAAUUUGGUGCUUUUUGAUCCCCAAUUGCUAUGGAUAACAAAGGAUGGAACAAUGAUCACCCAGCACUUCUGUGUAACACUAGUCACACAAAGACUUUUUUGAGUUGAUUCUUCCCAAUUUCAAGAGUGAGAUUGAUCUUGUACAACACUAAAUGUGCAUUCAAUACAAGUUUUUGAACAUGAUUUGCAAAUAGUUUGAUAUGGUUUUGCAGGACACAAUUAUAGAAAGAAAAAAUAAACAGAAAGAAGAAAAUGUCUAUGGUCGGGCUAUUUUAACUAUGUGUUUGGAUGUAUGUAUACCAGACGUAAUUUCUUUUUGGAUGCAAUAAUAAGGCUCCCUGUUGAGGGAAACAAGGAAUAUAUUUUAUUGUCAAUAUGAAAGUUAGUAAAUGACCGCUUAGAAGAGAAAAGAAGAUGAGAUAAUUGGCGUGUAUAUCUCCACGCACCACCAUAAUUAGGAAAAUACCAUCUACUCUCAAAUACAAUUUUAUAUGCCAUUUUUGCCUCUACUCCAACCUCCCCUGCAUGUCUCUAGCUGUGUCAGGCUCUCUGAUAUCCUGCAUACGUUUAAUGUUCGUAGAAGCAAGGCCCGUUAUCCAAGCUCUUUCUCUUUUUUCAAUUCUUUGUGUUCUACAAUUAAAUAUUUUUUAUGAAAUAUAUUCUUGUCCAAAGCUAUAUUCUCUAUCAAAAUAUCACAAGGUUCCUUUUGUGUUUAUCCUCAAGUACCGUGAAAACAUCAAUUUUUAGUUCUAUUUUUUUUAUACAAAUCACCGGAAAAUUUUACUAUCUCGCUCAUUGGCAAAACGCGUCGCAUAACAAUUCCAACACCACCGCAAUGACGAGCUCCUCAAUCUGCAGAAUAUAAAGAAAAUUCCAUUGAAAGUGAUAGUAUCGGUGGGAAAGGCAAGAGUUCCAGAUCUGAGCACUUAUAUUACCACCAUAACUAGGGAUUCCACGACGAGGUUAUGGUCAGGAAAUCGUCCGGGACAAGUAUAUAUUUUCAUAAUGUGUAUAUUGUCUCAAACGAGUUCUUAAACCAUGGAGAAGGCAUUUCAGAUCCUCCAUUGUGGUGGUUAUUGUCAGGAAAUCUCCGACCGGGAUAUAUGUUUGGUUAGCUGCUACAAAAUAAAUGUUAGAUGAUACAAGUUUGUUAGCUCCUACUAAAUAUGUUUAAAAAUAGGAUACAUUACAGUUGUUGCUAAUAGAUACAUGUUUAUUAACUGCACUAGCUUGUUUACAUAGUAGUGGUUGUUAGAUAUAUUCCACUACAUGUUUAUUAACUGCACUAGCUUGUUUACAUAGUAGUUGUUUACCAUAUAUUAUUGAUGUGAUAAAAGCAUGAGAUGUUUAGUGUAUUCCACGGUGUAAAUAGUUGUCGUUAGAAAAUACAUAGUUUGUUAACUGAUACAUGUUUUAGUUCCUUAUUUGAUAGCUGAUAUGUUAUUUGUUACAUGAUACAUGGCUUAUUAUCUUAUACAUGACGGUGUCAUAACAUAAGUUUUGGUGCUGUGAAACGAGAACGGCUAAGAAGAAGACUUUGACGUCUGAGAAAUAUGGUAAACUGAAAAUAUUUUUUUUACUUGAUUUAAUGACUCGCUGUCUCGAACGAGUUCACGAAAAUUACCCAUGCGUUCAUGAGGUCUUCAUUUUUUUUUUUUUUUACUCAAUAACAUUGUCUAUUAGUUUAUUCUUGUUUGACACAUGCUUUGUUAGCUGAUAUAUUGUAUUGAAUAAUAUUUAGGAAGAUGUUACAAAUUAGUUAUUGUUACCUGAUACAUGAUUUGGUAGAUGAUACAUGAUUUGUUACAUAAUACAUGACUUGUGUAUCUAAUACAUGGUUUGAUAUAAAAAAAGAAUGUACUAUCUUGUAUUUAAUUGAUUCUUUAAACACUUUACAUUUGUUGUGAAAUACAUGUUUUGUUAAAUAUUAUAAAUAAGAUUACAUCUAAUUGAUAAAAUAAUGGUAAGAUGUUACAAAAUAGUUAUAGUUAGCUGAUCCAUGAUUUGUUUAAUUGUUAAAUGGUUUGUUACCUGAUUCGUGAUUUAUUACCUUAUACAUGGUUUGGUAGUUCAUACAACCGACACUGAAACAAUAAUAUAAAGUUCGCUGGCCAUGAAAAUGAUUGAGAAUUUAUGUCCAAUAAAUGUAGUAUGCUAAAAGAAUAAAACAAACAUAACAGUGAAUACUUAUUCUUUGACACAAAAAUGUUACUCCCUCCGUUUUUUAAUAUAAGUCGUUGUAGAGAAAUUUUUUUGUUUCAAAUUAUAUGUCGUUUUCGGUUUUCUAUGUAAAAUUUAUUAGUAAUUAAUGUUGUAUGACCAAUGGUAAUAUAUCUUUUAUUUUUCUAUUGGUUGAAUUGUGGUUAGGUAAAUAAUUAAUGAUGUUUUUGUUUAGAAAAUAUAAGAAAUUAAUGGUUUUCUUAAUCUACGUGCAUAGCUAUAAAACGACUUAUAUAAAAAAACGGAGGGAGUAUAAAAGAGUUGUCGUUAGUUGAUAUAUAGGUUGUUAUAUGCUCCAAACAAUGUACCAACUCACAAAUCUUGUAUCAGCUAAUGACAGUUACUCUAUAAAAUCUUAUCGACAAUUUAUCAAUUAACUGCAACCAGUUUUUAACGACUAAUAAAAUAUGUAGUCUGAAUACCAAUAUAAAAUAAAAAAUCCACUAAAAUAUAAAUAAUAUAUGUUAACUAAAAUUACCAACUAACAUAUAUGUUAUGAAGAGCGGCCCUUUCUUAAACUUCUGAUACACCACUGCAUGAUUUAUGGUUGAAGAAAAAGACCGCAAUGCAGCAUCGCUAUUAAUAUGAUUAGCAAUUGAAAGCAAAUUAUGAUUUGAAACUGAUAGGGAUAAGAACGCCGGUCAUCAAAGGCAAUAAAACUGCCACGACUUGUCAUCAUCGAAGUGUUCAAUGGUAAAAUAUGUCACUGAAUUCUAAUGUGGCUCAUCAUAGAUCUAUACAAAUAAAAAAAAAAUAUUACUAGAUUUUGUUUUCUCCAUAGACUCAUCAUUAUCAUGGAUCUACGAACUUCAGUUUAUCUUUUAUGGAUUUCACCAAAUUUUUUGAAUCUUCGUGAGAAUUGUAGUAAGAAUUCAUCAAAGUUUUCUUGGAUCUUAGUAGGAACCAUUGAAAACUCAAGUUUUAAAUCUGAGUUUUUUUUCUAAAAGCUUGAUUCACAGAUUGGGAAAUGAAAAAUAUGAGAAAGAAACCAAUCUUUUUACUAAGAUGAAAAGGAAACUAUAAAGUUGACUCAAAACUAGAAAAAACAUGUGGAUGAAAAGGCUGUAGUUGCAGACCUACGACCUUGAUUACACUUCUACAAACUUGACAUAUUUUUCUUUCACAUGCCACGUCGAUGUACGAGUGGUACGAAAACUGAUGAUAAUGCUCAAACAUCUACAAGUGGUAUUAGAGGUUAGAGGUUGAGAGUGUUGAUUGGUCUAUGGAUGGAAACAAUCUUUGAUCAUCUUGUGUUUUCCGCAGGAAAUACAUCUUUUUAAAGUUUUGAAUACUGAAUGUGUAGAUGGUUUGAGAUGAUAUCGAGUGCAAUAGUAUUACACUGAUGAGAUUUGACAAAGAUUUUUGUGGCAGAAAGAAACAAUACUAUUGGCUAAUUUUGAAAUUAAAAAAUAUAUAAUGAAUAUGAACUUCUAUAGUAGUAAUUAUUACUAUCUACUAGCUUAUGAAAGUUUGGGUUUGAAACUAUAAAACAAGGUUCACGAAUCAAACUCAUGAUAAAUCAUGUAAAAUAUUGGACUGGAAUCCAAAUGUUUCUGAUAAUAUGAUAAAAAUUAAAAUCAUUAAUUACCCAAAAUAGAAGUAGAAUAAAAUGAGAAAAUAUGUAGCAACACAACAGAAAUAGAUCGAUCAGGGAGAGUACAAUGAAUGGGUGAAAACCAUAGCUUCUCCCUCCUGUAAGAUCUAUAGAGUUGCAAAACAUAAAGAAUAUGAUAUGUAAAGAA
Brassica rapa (field mustard) is the source of this 11500-nucleotide long non-coding RNA. RefSeq lists it as uncharacterized. NCBI's taxonomy places the organism in Eukaryota, Viridiplantae, Streptophyta, Magnoliopsida, Brassicales, Brassicaceae. The record is from RefSeq and is a predicted model, not a curated record.